RNAcentral lists this long non-coding RNA (295 nucleotides) under Elaeis guineensis (African oil palm). RNAcentral describes it as "long non-coding RNA (EGUI_LNC073728)". Lineage: Eukaryota; Viridiplantae; Streptophyta; Magnoliopsida; Arecales; Arecaceae. The record is from RNAcentral.
GCUCCAACGGCUGCAGACAAAUUUAGUCCGGACUCCUACGGGGGCCGGACUCCGACCGCUGUCGAACUUCAACCGAUGGAUCUGCACCCCCUGGCAGACCACCAUAACGGCCACGAUCCUGCUCCACUUCCUGUGGCGGAUCCCGCGUAGCUCCAUCAUUCCCUGACAGGCCGCAGUAACCAUCGCAGCUCUGCUCCACUCCCUGUGGCGGAUUCCGCACAGCUCCACUACCCCCUGGCAGGCCACAAUAACGGCCACGAACCUGCUCCACCUCCUGCGAUGGAUACCGAGCGAU